RNAcentral lists this unclassified non-coding RNA (455 nucleotides) under Gaillardia spathulata. RNAcentral describes it as "external transcribed spacer". Lineage: Eukaryota; Viridiplantae; Streptophyta; Magnoliopsida; Asterales; Asteraceae. The record is from RNAcentral.
GGGCAAUUUUCGGAAAUGUAGACCGUAAAGGUGCAUGAGUGGUGUUUGGUUUGUUACGGGUGGUUGGCUCUUUGCUUGCGCAACAACUUCCACCUGGCUUACCUCUUCAUUUGCUGGUUAAGGUUUUCUAGCCUUAUUGAGUUGCGGGUUUCCUGUGUUGUCUACCGAAUUGAUGGAAUUGUGUUUGGCUGAUCGAUGUUGCUUUUUGUCUUGCCAUAAAUGUGGCGUAAGAUGAACGAGACUGCUUGCUCUUUGAACCACAUUGUUUAUGUGUGUGCAUGAUGUUGUGGCUUAUUGAGCAUUGCUUGGUAUCAUGAAUAUAGAACUUGUGUGGGCAUUGGGUCUUAAGGAUCCAUGUAUUGCUCUCAUUGAGUUGUUAUGCUUCUAAAAAUGACAUCUUGCUAUGUAAGGGCUUGUACCGACAUGCGAGUUUGUCAAUGAGGAAUGCUACCUGG